ACGUACGGCCAUAGAUACAGGAGAAUACGGGAUCCCGUCCGCUCUCCCUGAGUCAAACCUGUAAUCGGCGGAUUAGUAGUUGGGUCGGUGACGACCAGCGAAUACCCGCUGCUGUACGUU
Sporothrix schenckii ATCC 58251 is the source of this 120-nucleotide ribosomal RNA. The record is from Rfam. NCBI's taxonomy places the organism in Eukaryota, Fungi, Ascomycota, Sordariomycetes, Ophiostomatales, Ophiostomataceae.